RNAcentral lists this ribosomal RNA (497 nucleotides) under uncultured bacterium. Its description in RNAcentral is "partial 16S ribosomal RNA". It matches the Rfam family "Bacterial small subunit ribosomal RNA", at positions 28 to 507 of the family's 1533-position model. The record is from RNAcentral.
GAUGAACGCUGGCGGCGUGCCUAAUACAUGCAAGUCGAGCGAACGGACGAGAAGCUUGCUUCUCUGAUGUUAGCGGCGGACGGGUGAGUAACACGUGGAUAACCUACCUAUAAGACGGGGAUAACUUCGGGAAACCGGAGCUAAUACCGGAUAAUAUUUUGAACCGCAUGGUUCAAAAGUAAAAGACGGUGUUGCGGUCACGUAUAGAUGGAUCCGCGCUGGAUUAGCUAGUUGGUAAGGUAACGGCUUACCAAGGCAACGAGGCAUAGCCGACGUGAGAGGGUGAUCGCCCACACUGGAACUGAGCCACGGACAAGACUACUAAGGGAGGCAGCAGUAGGGAAUCUUACGCAGUGGGCGAGAGCAUGACGCAGCAACGCGGCGUGAGAGAUGAAGGUCUUCGGAUCGUAAAGCUCUGUUAUGAGGGAAGAACAUAUGUGUAAUUAAAUGAGCACAUAUUGACGGUACCUAAUCAGAAAGCAACGGCUAACUACGUG